This 515-nucleotide ribosomal RNA is filed under the name uncultured Pseudomonadota bacterium. RNAcentral describes it as "bacterial SSU rRNA". It matches the Rfam family "Bacterial small subunit ribosomal RNA", at positions 8 to 522 of the family's 1533-position model. The record is from RNAcentral. Lineage: Bacteria; Pseudomonadati; Pseudomonadota.
AGAGUUUGAUCUGGCUCAGAUUGAACGCUGGCGGCAUGCCUUACACAUGCAAGUCGAACGACGCUAGGGGCAACUCUAGCGAGUGGCGUACGGGUGAGUAAUGCAUCGGAACGUGUCCUCUUGUGGGGGAUAACCAGUCGAAAGAUUGGCUAAUACCGCAUGAGCUCGAGAGAGGAAAGCGGGGGAUCCGCAAGGACCUCGCGCGAGAGGAGCGGCCGAUGCCCGAUUAGCUAGUUGGUGGGGUAAAAGCCCACCAAGGCGACGAUCGGUAGCUGGUCUGAGAGGACGACCAGCCACACUGGGACUGAGACACGGCCCAGACUCCUACGGGAGGCAGCAGUGGGGAAUUUUGGACAAUGGGGGCAACCCUGAUCCAGCCAUGCCGCGUGUGUGAAGAAGGCCUUCGGGUUGUAAAGCACCUUCGGACGGAACGAAAUCGCGCGGGUUAACAGCCCGCGUGGAUGACGGUACCGUAAGAAGAAGCACCGGCUAACUACGUGCCAGCAGCCGCGGUA